RNAcentral lists this RNase P RNA (397 nucleotides) under Chitinophagaceae bacterium. Its description in RNAcentral is "RNase P RNA component class A". It matches the Rfam family "Bacterial RNase P class A", at positions 20 to 303 of the family's 367-position model. Rfam says of the family: Ribonuclease P (RNase P) is a ubiquitous endoribonuclease, found in archaea, bacteria and eukarya as well as chloroplasts and mitochondria. Its best characterised activity is the generation of mature 5'-ends of tRNAs by cleaving the 5'-leader elements of precursor-tRNAs. Cellular RNase Ps are ribonucleoproteins. The record is from RNAcentral. Lineage: Bacteria; Pseudomonadati; Bacteroidota; Chitinophagia; Chitinophagales; Chitinophagaceae.
AUCCCAUACUUUCAGAUUGGGGUAGGAAAGUCCGGACAGCACAGGGCAGCGCAUCCCGCUAACGGCGGGACAUUCCGCCUCGCCACAAGCGGGGGCCGGGAUCGAGACAGUGCCACAGAAAAUUGGAGCCUGAGCUCCGGGGGCAACUCCGCAGCGUGUGUCAGCCCGCCCUUGUCCGCCCACGGGCGUACUUCGGCGGGGAGGCAGGGUAAUCGUGAAAACGUGGGGUAAGAGCCCACGGCGCAGCAUCGGAAGGUGCUGCGCGGGUAAACCUUGCGCGCUGAAAUGCCAUGUAUAGGAACAACCUGAGGCGGCUCGCUUCAUUCCCCGGAAGGGGAAGUGUUCCAGGGUAGGCAGCUUGAGGCGGCCAGAUUGGUUAAUUGGUAACUUGUUCGUC